Molecule: ribosomal RNA, 375 nt
Filed under: Salmonella enterica
Lineage: Bacteria; Pseudomonadati; Pseudomonadota; Gammaproteobacteria; Enterobacterales; Enterobacteriaceae
Also listed under: 1 other name
Description: partial 23S ribosomal RNA
Rfam family: Bacterial large subunit ribosomal RNA
Source: RNAcentral
CGGGGGUAGAGCACUGUUUCGGCUAGGGGGCCAUCCCGGCUUACCAACCCGAUGCAAACUGCGAAUACCGGAGAAUGUUAUCACGGGAGACACACGGCGGGUGCUAACGUCCGUCGUGAAGAGGGAAACAACCCAGACCGCCAGCUAAGGUCCCAAAGUCAUGGUUAAGUGGGAAACGAUGUGGGAAGGCCCAGACAGCCAGGAUGUUGGCUUAGAAGCAGCCAUCAUUUAAAGAAAGCGUAAUAGCUCACUGGUCGAGUCGGCCUGCGCGGAAGAUGUAACGGGGCUAAACCAUGCACCGAAGCUGCGGCAGCGACACUGUGUGUUGUUGGGUAGGGGAGCGUUCUGUAAGCCUGUGAAGGUGUGUCGUGAGGC